Non-coding RNA from Tupaia belangeri (northern tree shrew), 66 nucleotides. NCBI's taxonomy places the organism in Eukaryota, Metazoa, Chordata, Mammalia, Scandentia, Tupaiidae. The record is from Ensembl.
UAGUGAUUAGUUUAACAAAAACAAAUGAUUUCGACUCAUUAGACUAUGGUCAACCAUAAUCACUAA